UACGUAGGGCGCAAGCGUUGUCCGGAAUUAUUGGGCGUAAAGAGCUCGUAGGCGGCCAGUUGCGUCUGCUGUGAAAUCCCGGGGCUCAACCCCGGGCUUGCAGUGGAUACGGGCUGGCUGGAGGCAGGCAGGGGAGAACGGAAUUCCCGGUGUAGCGGUGAAAUGCGCAGAUAUCGGGAAGAACACCCGUGGCGAAGGCGGCUCUCUGGGACGGUACUGACGCUGAGACGCGAAAGCGUGGGGAGCGAACAGG
This 253-nucleotide ribosomal RNA is filed under the name uncultured bacterium. Its description in RNAcentral is "partial 16S ribosomal RNA". It matches the Rfam family "Bacterial small subunit ribosomal RNA", at positions 524 to 776 of the family's 1533-position model. The record is from RNAcentral.